UUUUGGGUAAUCGCUAUAGCAAUAUAGAGGAAAGUCCAUGCUCACACAGUCUGAGAUGACUGUAGUGUUCGUGCUUGACGAAACAAUAAGUCAAGGCAUAUCAAUGACGGCAACGAAAUAACCUAAGUUUAAUUAAUAUGGUUAAAAUAGUUUGAAAGUGCCACAGUGACGUAGCUUUUGCGGAAACGUAAAAGGUGGAACGCGGUAAACCCCUCGAGUGAGCAAUCCAAAUUAGGUAGGAGCACUUGUUUAGCGGAAUUCAACGUAUAAACAAGACGUUAUUUUAACGUAACGAAAUAGCGUAGACAGAUGAUUACCACCAGCGUACGAGUGUAGCUAGGACACGUUCGCAGUACAAUGGAACAGAACAUGGCUUACAU
RNAcentral lists this RNase P RNA (380 nucleotides) under Staphylococcus auricularis. Its description in RNAcentral is "Bacterial RNase P class B". It matches the Rfam family "Bacterial RNase P class B". Rfam says of the family: Ribonuclease P (RNase P) is a ubiquitous endoribonuclease, found in archaea, bacteria and eukarya as well as chloroplasts and mitochondria. Its best characterised activity is the generation of mature 5'-ends of tRNAs by cleaving the 5'-leader elements of precursor-tRNAs. Lineage: Bacteria; Bacillati; Bacillota; Bacilli; Caryophanales; Staphylococcaceae. The record is from RNAcentral.